CUGCGUGCAAGAUGGUAUCAGUGUCAACUUUAGUGUUGAUUGUUGUUUGUACCGGGAUCUGCGCUGAUGGGUUUCUUCACGUCGACUAAUUCCAGACACUGAGGAAUGCCUGUCCCUCCCUGGGACUUGCAUUGACACCUCCAUGGUCCAGUGUAGGGGUCUCACGGUACAAAUCUGUGGGCCCCUGCCGGAAGCAGCCUGUUGCAUUCACUCUGACAUUGGAAACUGAGUGUCUUAAGAACGUCAACACAAGCAACCCUCCUGUUAAAGUGCUUUUAAAUUCGAAAAGAAUAAAUUGUCCAUGAACUUUACACGAAGAAUUGAAGCAUUAAAUUAACAUGCAA
Molecule: long non-coding RNA, 344 nt
Organism: Haliotis rubra (blacklip abalone)
Lineage: Eukaryota; Metazoa; Mollusca; Gastropoda; Lepetellida; Haliotidae
Exons: 3
Source: RefSeq, a predicted model, not a curated record